This 442-nucleotide ribosomal RNA is filed under the name uncultured bacterium. RNAcentral describes it as "partial 16S ribosomal RNA". It matches the Rfam family "Bacterial small subunit ribosomal RNA", at positions 339 to 795 of the family's 1533-position model. The record is from RNAcentral.
CUACGGGUUGCACCAGUGGGGAAUAUUGGGCAAUGGACGAAAGUCUGACCCAGCGACGCCGCGUGAGGGAAGAAGGUCUUCGGAUUGUAAACCUCUGUCGAUAGGGAAGAAGAAAGUGACGGUACCUAUCGAGGAAGCCACGGCUAACUACGUGCCAGCAGCCGCGGUAAUACGUAGGUGGCAAGCGUUAUCCGGAAUUACUGGGUGUAAAGGGUGUGUAGGCGGGACUGCAAGUCAGAUGUGAAAACUAUGAGCUUAACUCAUAGCCUGCAUUUGAAACUGUGGUUCUUGAGUGUCGGAGAGGUAAAUGGAAUACCCAGUGUAGCGGUGAAAUGCGUAGAUAUUGGGAGGAACACCAGUGGCGAAGGCGAUUUACUGGACGACAACUGACGCUGAGACACGAAAGCGUGGGGAGCAAACAGGAUUAGAUACCCCCGUAGUC